Molecule: ribosomal RNA, 508 nt
Filed under: uncultured bacterium
Lineage: Bacteria
Description: bacterial SSU rRNA
Rfam family: Bacterial small subunit ribosomal RNA
Source: RNAcentral
UUCUGGCUCAGGAUGAACGCUAGCGACAGGCUAACACAUGCAAGUCGAGGGGCAGCAUAAAAGUAGCAAUACUUGGUGGCGACCGGCGCACGGGUGAGUAACGCGUAUGCAACCUACCUAUCAGAGGGGAAUAACCCGGCGAAAGUCGGACUAAUACCGCAUAAAACAGGGGCACCGCAUGGUGAUAUCUGUUAAAGAAAUUCGCUGAUAGAUGGGCAUGCGUUCCAUUAGGUAGUUGGUGAGGUAACGGCUCACCAAGCCGACGAUGGAUAGGGGAACUGAGAGGUUGGUCCCCCACACUGGUACUGAGACACGGACCAGACUCCUACGGGAGGCAGCAGUGAGGAAUAUUGGUCAAUGGGCGGGAGCCUGAACCAGCCAAGUCGCGUGAAAGGAAGAAGGAUCUAUGGUUCGUAAACUUCUUUUGCAGGGGAAUAAAGUGCAGGACGUGUCCUGUUUUGUAUGUACCCUGAGAAUAAGGAUCGGCUAACUCCGUGCCAGCAGCUGC